Ixodes scapularis (black-legged tick) is the source of this 45-nucleotide non-coding RNA. NCBI's taxonomy places the organism in Eukaryota, Metazoa, Arthropoda, Arachnida, Ixodida, Ixodidae. The record is from Rfam.
AAAGCGGUCCUUUUAAGGACCACACAUUUGCUGUAAAACUGAAUA